AUGAUUUUAAAGUUUUUACAUUUUUUUUCUUUCUUUUUUUGGAUUUCUUUGGAUAAGUAAUACAAACACAUCACAAUGUUGCAAUUCAUGUCAAUUCCUGUAUGAAAUUCAUGGUCAGAUAGAGAUGCCAGUGCACAUUUGGGAAAUGUACACAGGCAGCUAGGUUCAUUGUCCUCUUUUGUCUGCAGAAAGCAAUCAAGAAAACAUCUGUGCUUAGAUAGAGCUGAUUUUCAUGGAUUGGGUUCAGAUGUUGGCAGAAGACCCAUGCUCCAAGAGCAGCCAAAAGAUGGUUAAUUGGCUGUCAGCUCUGGAAGCCUGACCGUUAGCUGCGAGACACAAUACUUAUUUACAGAGAGUCACAAUACUUAUUUCCAAGGCAAGCAGAAAGUAGGGGAAGUCUGUGAGGAAUGGGAAUGAAAAGCGACAGGUUGUCCAAGAAACUAGAAUACUGCGGGUUCACUAAGUUUUUCUCUUCAAACUCUGCUCCAGGAAUAAUUCCAUGUGUGUGCAGCUCUGGAUGCCAGCCACACCUGGGGAGAGUAUCUGAAGGCACAAAGCUCCUCCAGGUUAGCACACAGGCAACGACUCGCAUCUCCCACUGCUCUAAGGCAGUGAAGAAGAGGUUAUGUAUCCCAGCUGACAGAUCCACGGACUAUUUUAACAGCUGCUUGGGGAUGAAGAGCUUUGGAGAGCAGAGGAAGAUUAAACAGCUCGUAUCUGCUUUAUUUUCUUCUCCUUUGAUCUCAGUGCAGUCCCCUUCUCUCUGGCUUCACUUUUUUUUUAUAUUUGCCUGCAUUAAAAUCCUGAAUAGUUUUGUUCAUCUGUUUAGUAAAAGGAAGCUGAUAAAAAUUAAAUAUAUUACAGCACAUUAAAAAAAAAUAAUAUAUAUAUAUAUAUUCUCUUUAUUCAUCUCAGCUGCAGGAGAUGUUCCAUUGGUGGCUGAGGCAGUUGUGGAUACGACAUUAGUUCUUGGUCGUUCAGGGAGGUAGCAUGGUUUGAGAUGCUGGGUUAAGCUUUCAGGAGCUUCAGGCUACAGUCUAAUUCUGCCACUAUUGUUUUUAGCUGGUGCAUGUCUGACUUUCAUUUUGGUUGGAGGAGUGGUACUUCACAAUUUCCCAGAAAUAUUGUUUGUAGUGUCAAUUUUAAUGACUAGACUAUCCAUAAUGACUAGACUAUCUGUUCUGCUGUUCAGCAGGUAAAUGCCAAGGCAGUCGGGGAGAUAAAAGAUCCAUCUUAAACUGACCUGAACUGACAUUUUUUGGCUUUGCUAGAUUUAUAUAACUCUGCUUUUGGCAAUCUGAGGUUUCAGUGGAUGAAGAGGGAACCCCAUUGUAUGCAGUAUUUCUAAGAAGUGAUGUAAUAGUGACUAUAAAUUCACAAUUACAUUGAUUAGGGUAAUGGUGAUGAAAAACUUGAGGCUUCAAUUAAGAAGAUGCUAUUUGGACUGGGUACAAGAUUAUUGAUUCCUCCAUAAAAUGCCAUUGUACGGUAGAGAAAUCCAGAGAACUUAAGGGAGAAUGUGAAAAACAGAGAUGCUAAUACCUAAAUCACUCCAUUGGGCACAUUUAUUUUUAAAGUAUCUUUAGCCUGUUGACUUAUUUUAAAGCAAAGAGACACAGAAAUGGACAAGAGAAAUAGAAGUAAUAGUCCCUUAAUAGGAUCAAGCAUGUUUAUAUAAUGAAGAUGAAACUGACGAGCUUUUCCUGAGCCAAUGGGCAGAAACCUAAGGGGUCUUAAUACUCACAGGUUCCUGGCCUACUGGAAAUGCCUGGUGCCAAAGCAGUUACUGCCACCUUAAGCACAAAGCAAACAAUCAUGCAUUUCUGGAGAUAGCCUUCGGGCCCAGUGUUUCUGGUGUUGCAACAACUUCUCACAGAAGGAGAAUAAAAAUGUGUGAUGGACAAUUCA
RNAcentral lists this long non-coding RNA (1908 nucleotides) under Anser brachyrhynchus (Pink-footed goose). RNAcentral's name for it is "lncRNA (ENSABRG00000007856.1)". Lineage: Eukaryota; Metazoa; Chordata; Aves; Anseriformes; Anatidae. The record is from RNAcentral.